This 23-nucleotide non-coding RNA is filed under the name Arabidopsis thaliana (thale cress). Lineage: Eukaryota; Viridiplantae; Streptophyta; Magnoliopsida; Brassicales; Brassicaceae. The record is from RNAcentral.
AUGAAGAACGUAGCGAAAUGCGA